This 518-nucleotide long non-coding RNA is filed under the name Drosophila guanche. Lineage: Eukaryota; Metazoa; Arthropoda; Insecta; Diptera; Drosophilidae. The record is from RNAcentral.
CGGCCCUGCAGGCUGUUGCUUAUCGCAAUCCGCUGCCGCUGCCGCUGCCGCUGUCGCUUUAGCUGCUCAACAAUGAACUUUUGGGAGUGACAGUUUAGUUUUUUCGUGCCAUGGACGAGGGCCAGCAGCAUCAGCGACUCACGCACAUGUCGCUCCGAGAAGUUGAAACGGAGCUUAAAACCCAAAAGGGCCGAAAAAGAUAGCGGAUAAAACACAUGUAAGAGAGAUGGAUGGAGGAGGAAAUGAGAAGCUGAACAGAGCAGAAGAGAAGAGAAGAGAAGAGAAAGAUAAGAGUGGACAGCAAAGCGGAGAGGGAGACACGAGCAAAGGGAUGGCAAACGCUCACAGUGUACACUGAGCGGGAGAAGUAUGUGAAUAUAUUUGCCAUCUAUUCCAACAUGUAAAUUCGAUAUAUAUUUCUGUUUAGCACUUUUCUUAGUUUUCAAAAGAUAUUGCAAUAGAUACAUACAAAAUGUACCUUGUGUCGCAUAUCUUUCGACAGUCACUGUGUUUCGAAC